Molecule: small RNA, 68 nt
Filed under: Mycolicibacterium grossiae
Lineage: Bacteria; Bacillati; Actinomycetota; Actinomycetes; Mycobacteriales; Mycobacteriaceae
Description: Mycobacterium grossiae ASdes TB sRNA
Rfam family: ASdes TB sRNA
Source: Rfam by way of RNAcentral
AGCUCGACGGGGUCGAUCGCACGGGUCACCAGCAGGUAGUCGCGCAGCGCGAUGCCGUGGCGGUUCUC